Miniopterus natalensis is the source of this 421-nucleotide long non-coding RNA. RefSeq lists it as uncharacterized. Lineage: Eukaryota; Metazoa; Chordata; Mammalia; Chiroptera; Miniopteridae. The record is from RefSeq and is a predicted model, not a curated record.
GGUGAGAAGAGCCGCAAUCACCACCUCUCACCCUCGUCGGGGAGGCCGUCUAACAAUAAUCCAGCAAGUGACUUGUCCUGUGGCAGGUUUUGUUGGCACAUUCAGAGCCAGUCUCGCUCUGAGUCCUGAGAGCCCUCAUCUCAGAGUUCGGGUCCCAGGCCUCCAGCUCCUUGUCGAAUCCGAGUCAUCAGCGCCGAUGGACAACGGCCCUUCCUCUGAGGCAUGAGGCCAGUCCUUACGGAUCUCCUCUGAGCUCCCGCGUCCCCACACCGGACAAUCAGUGCUCCAUCCUCAGAUGUCUUGGCCAAUCAGUGCUCCAUCCUCAGAUGUCUUGGCCACGUCUCAUGGCCACGCCGAGAAGUUCUCUAGAAAGAACUCUGAGCCUCCAAAUGCUUAUUGAAAUAUAUUACUCAGGAAAUUU